GCUACACAUGCAGUCGAGCGAGACCUUCGGGUCUAGCGGCGGACGGGUUAGUAACGCGUGGGAACGUGCCCUUCUCUGCGGAAUAGCCACUGGAAACGGUGAGUAAUACCGCAUACGCCCUUCGGGGGAAAGAUUUAUCGGAGAAGGAUCGGCCCGCGUUAGAUUAGAUAGUUGGUGGGGUAACGGCCUACCAAGUCUACGAUCUAUAGCUGGUUUUAGAGGAUGAUCAGCAACACUGGGACUGAGACACGGCCCAGACUCCUACGGGAGGCAGCAGUGGGGAAUCUUAGACAAUGGGCGCAAGCCUGAUCUAGCCAUGCCGCGUGUGUGAUGAAGGUCUUAGGAUCGUAAAGCACUUUCGCCAGGGAUGAUAAUGACAGUACCUGGUAAAGAAACCCCGGCUAACUCCGUGCCAGCAGCCGCGGUAAUACGGAGGGGGUUAGCGUUGUUCGGAAUUACUGGGCGUAAAGCGCGCGUAGGCGGAUUGGAAAGUUGGGGGUGAAAUCCCGGGGCUCAACCCCGGAACUGCCUCCAAAACUAUCAGUCUAGAGUUCGAGAGAGGUGAGUGGAAUUCCAAGUGUAGAGGUGAAAUUCGUAGAUAUUUGGAGGAACACCAGUGGCGAAGGCGGCUCACUGGCUCGAUACUGACGCUGAGGUGC
Molecule: ribosomal RNA, 659 nt
Filed under: Sulfitobacter dubius
Lineage: Bacteria; Pseudomonadati; Pseudomonadota; Alphaproteobacteria; Rhodobacterales; Roseobacteraceae
Description: bacterial SSU rRNA
Rfam family: Bacterial small subunit ribosomal RNA
Source: RNAcentral